Molecule: ribosomal RNA, 567 nt
Filed under: Triticum aestivum (bread wheat)
Lineage: Eukaryota; Viridiplantae; Streptophyta; Magnoliopsida; Poales; Poaceae
Description: partial small subunit ribosomal RNA
Source: RNAcentral
AUGUCCAACUCGCGCGCGUCCUCCCACGGUGCCAGCGGCGGCGUGGCGGUAACGCCGUCGAUGUCCGCGUCGGCCAUCGUCGCCAAGGGGGCGACCGGGUCGCACGUCCUCAAGAUCGACGGCUACUCCCGCAUGAAGGGACUCUACAUUGGCAAAUUCAUUACGUCGAGGUCGUUCCAAGUCGGAGGCCAUCGCUGGUGCCUGCGAUACUACCCCAACAGUCGAGACUUCGUACGAUACGCCGGCUGGAUAUCGAUCGUACUCUGUCUUGAUCCCAGCGAGGUCGGUGAAGUCACGGCAGAGUACAAGAUCAGCUUGCUCGACAAAAAAGGCCGCCCAGUGCCACGCUUCGUCCGGGAAAGCAAAACCUUGACAUUCUCCGGGAAGCAAGAGCCACAUAUCACCGAUUCCUACCACCUCAUCACUAAGGCAGAACUGGGGAGUCUACCUUACCUGAAGGAUGAUGCUUUCAGCGUGAGGUGCGAUAUCACCGUGGUGAUGGGGAUCGUCACGGAGGACCUUGUGGUUCCCGCCGUCGAGCGUGGUAUCAAGAAAAAGACCUUCUAA